RNAcentral lists this ribosomal RNA (770 nucleotides) under Bacillus tequilensis. Its description in RNAcentral is "bacterial SSU rRNA". It matches the Rfam family "Bacterial small subunit ribosomal RNA", at positions 564 to 1337 of the family's 1533-position model. Lineage: Bacteria; Bacillati; Bacillota; Bacilli; Caryophanales; Bacillaceae. The record is from RNAcentral.
AGGGCUCGCAGGCGGUUUCUUAAGUCUGAUGUGAAAGCCCCCGGCUCAACCGGGGAGGGUCAUUGGAAACUGGGGAACUUGAGUGCAGAAGAGGAGAGUGGAAUUCCACGUGUAGCGGUGAAAUGCGUAGAGAUGUGGAGGAACACCAGUGGCGAAGGCGACUCUCUGGUCUGUAACUGACGCUGAGGAGCGAAAGCGUGGGGAGCGAACAGGAUUAGAUACCCUGGUAGUCCACGCCGUAAACGAUGAGUGCUAAGUGUUAGGGGGUUUCCGCCCCUUAGUGCUGCAGCUAACGCAUUAAGCACUCCGCCUGGGGAGUACGGUCGCAAGACUGAAACUCAAAGGAAUUGACGGGGGCCCGCACAAGCGGUGGAGCAUGUGGUUUAAUUCGAAGCAACGCGAAGAACCUUACCAGGUCUUGACAUCCUCUGACAAUCCUAGAGAUAGGACGUCCCCUUCGGGGGCAGAGUGACAGGUGGUGCAUGGUUGUCGUCAGCUCGUGUCGUGAGAUGUUGGGUUAAGUCCCGCAACGAGCGCAACCCUUGAUCUUAGUCAGCAUUCAGUUGGGCACUCUAAGGUGACUGCCGGUGACAAACCGGAGGAAGGUGGGGAUGACGUCAAAUCAUCAUGCCCCUUAUGACCUGGGCUACACACGUGCUACAAUGGACAGAACAAAGGGCAGCGAAACCGCGAGGUUAAGCCAAUCCCACAAAUCUGUUCUCAGUUCGGAUCGCAGUCUGCAACUCGACUGCGUGAAGCUGGAAUCGCUA